This 253-nucleotide ribosomal RNA is filed under the name uncultured bacterium. RNAcentral describes it as "partial 16S ribosomal RNA". It matches the Rfam family "Bacterial small subunit ribosomal RNA", at positions 524 to 776 of the family's 1533-position model. The record is from RNAcentral.
UACAGAGGGUGCGAGCGUUAAUCGGAAUUACUGGGCGUAAAGCGUGCGUAGACGGUUAUUUAAGUCGGAUGUGAAAGCCCCGGGCUCAACCUGGGAAUUGCAUUCGAGACUGAAUAGCUAGGGUACGGUAGAGGGAAGCGGAAUUUCCGGUGUAGCGGUGAAAUGCGUAGAUAUCGGAAGGAACAUCAGUGGCGAAAGCGACUUCCUGGACCAAUACUGACGCUCAUGUGCGAAAGCGUGGGGAGCAAACAGG